RNAcentral lists this ribosomal RNA (632 nucleotides) under Naganishia adeliensis. RNAcentral's name for it is "partial large subunit ribosomal RNA". It matches the Rfam family "Eukaryotic large subunit ribosomal RNA", at positions 48 to 668 of the family's 3401-position model. The record is from RNAcentral. Lineage: Eukaryota; Fungi; Basidiomycota; Tremellomycetes; Filobasidiales; Filobasidiaceae.
UAGCGGAGGAAAAGAAACUAACAAGGAUUCCCCUAGUAACGGCGAGUGAAGCGGGAAGAGCUCAAAUUUGAAAUCUGGUAGCCUUCGGUUGCCCGAGUUGUAAUCUAGAGAAGUGUUUUCCGUGCCGGCCCAUGUACAAGUCCCUUGGAACAGGGCGUCAUAGAGGGUGAGAAUCCCGUCCUUGACAUGGACCCCCGGUGCUUUGUGAUACACUUUCAACGAGUCGAGUUGUUUGGGAAUGCAGCUCAAAAUGGGUGGUGAAUUCCAUCUAAAGCUAAAUAUUGGCGAGAGACCGAUAGCGAACAAGUACCGUGAGGGAAAGAUGAAAAGCACUUUGGAAAGAGAGUUAAACAGUACGUGAAAUUGUUGAAAGGGAAACGAUUGAAGUCAGUCAUGCUCUUAGGAUUCAGCCGUUCUGCGGUGUAUUUCCUUUGAGUGGGGUCAACAUCAGUUUUGAUCGAUGGAUAAAGGCACGAGGAAGGUAGCACUCUCGGGUGAACUUAUAGCCUCGCGUCAUAUACAUUGAUUGGGACUGAGGAACGCAGCAUGCCUUUAUGGCCGGGAUUCGUCCACGUACAUGCUUAGGAUGUUGACAUAAUGGCUUUAAACGACCCGUCUUGAAACACGGACCA